Molecule: ribosomal RNA, 110 nt
Filed under: Paenibacillus macerans
Lineage: Bacteria; Bacillati; Bacillota; Bacilli; Caryophanales; Paenibacillaceae
Source: RNAcentral
GCGAUGGCGGAGGGGUUCCACGCGUACCCAUCCCGAACACGACCGUUAAGCCCUCCAGCGCCGAUGGUACUUGGACCGAAGGGUCCUGGGAGAGUAGGACGCCGCCAAGC